Molecule: non-coding RNA, 119 nt
Organism: Triticum urartu
Lineage: Eukaryota; Viridiplantae; Streptophyta; Magnoliopsida; Poales; Poaceae
Source: Rfam
AGCUGCGUGGUGAGCACAAAGCGAACUAUUCUUUCGCCUUUUACUAAAGAAUACCGUGUGCACGCCACACUAAGAAGCAUACACUAAUUUUUUGAGGGUGUUUUCUCUUUGUGAGAAAG